This 73-nucleotide transfer RNA is filed under the name Actinomadura sp. WMMB 499. RNAcentral describes it as "tRNA-Lys". It matches the Rfam family "tRNA". Rfam says of the family: Transfer RNA (tRNA) molecules are approximately 80 nucleotides in length. Their secondary structure includes four short double-helical elements and three loops (D, anti-codon, and T loops). RNAcentral also lists the same sequence under 1 other name. The record is from RNAcentral. Lineage: Bacteria; Bacillati; Actinomycetota; Actinomycetes; Streptosporangiales; Thermomonosporaceae.
GCCGCUCCCGUUCGAUCCGGCAGGACGCCGGGCCCUUACCCCGGCUCUAGAGGUUCGAGUCCUCUGGGCGGCG